Molecule: ribosomal RNA, 1377 nt
Filed under: metagenome
Description: bacterial LSU rRNA
Rfam family: Bacterial large subunit ribosomal RNA
Source: RNAcentral
GUAUCCGAGAGGUGAUGAGGUCCGAGCUUGCUCGGGACACUCGGUAAUCCCAGACUUCCAAGAAAAGCCGCGUACAGAGCCACUUUGGUGUCCGUACCGCAAACCGACUCAGGUGGGCGGGGUGAGUAUCCCAAGGCGCGUGAGAGAACCCUGGUUAAGGAACUCUGCAGAAUGACACCGUAACUUCGGGAGAAGGUGUGCCGCUUUGCGUGAAGGUCUUCGCGACCGGAGCGUGGGGUGGUUGCAGAGAAACGGGGGUUGUGACUGUUUACUAAAAACACAGGACUCUGCGAAGUCGCAAGACGACGUAUAGGGUCUGAUGCCUGCCCGGUGCUGGAAGGUUAAGGGGACGUGUCAGCGCAAGCGAAGCUCCGAACCGAAGCCCCAGUAAACGGCGGCCGUAACUAUAACGGUCCUAAGGUAGCGAAAUUCCUUGUCGGGUAAGUUCCGACCUGCACGAGGGCAUAACAACAUCCCCGCUGUCUCGACCAGGGACUCAGCGAAAUUGUAUCGGGGGUGAAGAUACCCUCUACCCGCGGCAAGACGGAAAGACCCCAUGAACCCUUACUGCAGCUUGGCAGUGAUUUUCGGGAUAUUCUGCGUAGGAUAGGUGGGAGGCGUUGAGGCCGGGCUUCUGGGUUCGGCGGAGCCAACGUUGAAAUACCACCCUGGGUGUUCUGGAAAUCUAACCUAGCCCCGUAAUCCGGGGCAGGGACACUGCCUGGUGGGCAGUUUGACUGGGGCGGUCGCCUCCAAAAAAGUAACGGAGGCGUGCGAAGGUUCCCUCAGCCUGAUUGGAAACCAGGCGUAGAGUGCAAACGCACAAGGGAGCUUAACUGUGAGACCGACAGGUCGAACAGGUGCGAAAGCAGGCGUUAGUGAUCCGGUGGUUCUGUAUGGAAGGGCCAUCGCUCAUCGGAUAAAAGGUACUCUGGGGAUAACAGGCUGAUCGCGCCUGAGAGUUCACAUCGGCGGCGCGGUUUGGCACCUCGAUGUCGGCCCAUCGCAUCCUGGGGCUGGAGCAGGUCCCAAGGGUUCGGCUGUUCGCCGAUUAAAGCGGUACGCGAGCUGGGUUUAAAACGUCGUGAGACAGUUUGGUCCCUAUCUGCCGUGGGCGUAGGACACUUGAGAGGAGCUGCCCAUAGUACGAGAGGACCUGGGUGGACGUACCUCUGGUGUUCCGGUUGUUCUGCCAAGGGCAUAGCCGGGUAGCCAUGUACGGAACGGAUAACCGCUGAAAGCAUCUAAGCGGGAAGCCGGCCUCGAGACUAGGUGUCCCGAGCCGCAAGGCUCCUAAAGACCCCUCGUAGACCACGAGGUUGAUAGGCCGGGUGUGGAAGCGGAGCAAUUCGCGGAGCUAACCGGUACUAAUCGGUC